AGGCUUUGAUCCUGGCUCAGAUUGAACGCUAGCGGCAUGCCUUACACAUGCAAGUCGAACGGCAGCACGGGGGCAACCCUGGUGGCGAGUGGCGAACGGGUGAGUAAUACAUCGGAACGUGCCCAGUAGUGGGGGAUAGCCCGGCGAAAGCCGGAUUAAUACCGCAUACGACCUACGGGUGAAAGCGGGGGACCGCAAGGCCUCGCGCUAUUGGAGCGGCCGAUGGCAGAUUAGCUUGUUGGUGGGGUAAUGGCCUACCAAGGCUACGAUCUGUAGCUGGUCUGAGAGGACGACCAGCCACACUGGGACUGAGACACGGCCCAGACUCCUACGGGAGGCAGCAGUGGGGAAUUUUGGACAAUGGGCGAAAGCCUGAUCCAGCAAUGCCGCGUGUGUGAAGAAGGCCUUCGGGUUGUAAAGCACUUUUGGCGGGAACGAAACAGCCUGGGCUAAUACCCCGGGCGACUGACGGUACCCUGCAGAAUAAGCACCGGCUAAAAUA
Molecule: ribosomal RNA, 502 nt
Filed under: uncultured Burkholderiales bacterium
Lineage: Bacteria; Pseudomonadati; Pseudomonadota; Betaproteobacteria; Burkholderiales
Description: bacterial SSU rRNA
Rfam family: Bacterial small subunit ribosomal RNA
Source: RNAcentral